GAUGAACGCUAGCGGCAGGCUUAAUACAUGCAAGUCGAGGGGCAGCGCAGUGUAGCAAUACAUGGGCGGCGACCGGCAAACGGGUGCGGAACACGUACGCAACCUUCCUUCAAAUGGGGCAUAGCCUUUCGAAAGAGAGAUUAAUACCCCGUAACAUUUUCUGGUGGCAUCACUGGAUUAUUAUAGCUCCGGCGUUUGAAGAUGGGCGUGCGGCUGAUUAGGUAGUUGGCGGAGUAACAGCCCACCAAGCCAACGAUCAGUAACUGGUGUGAGAGCACGACCAGUCACACGGGCACUGAGACACGGGCCCGACUCCUACGGGAGGCAGCAGUAAGGAAUAUUGGUCAAUGGACGCAAGUCUGAACCAGCCAUGCCGCGUGGAGGAUGAAGGUCCUCUGGAUUGUAAACUUCUUUUAUCGGAGAAGAAACCCUAGCAUUCCUGCUGGGUUGACGGUACCCGAUGAAUAAGCACCGGCUAACUCCGUGCCAGCAGCCGCAGUAA
RNAcentral lists this ribosomal RNA (502 nucleotides) under uncultured bacterium. RNAcentral's name for it is "partial 16S ribosomal RNA". It matches the Rfam family "Bacterial small subunit ribosomal RNA", at positions 28 to 523 of the family's 1533-position model. The record is from RNAcentral.